Molecule: ribosomal RNA, 541 nt
Filed under: uncultured bacterium
Lineage: Bacteria
Description: bacterial SSU rRNA
Rfam family: Bacterial small subunit ribosomal RNA
Source: RNAcentral
GACGAACGCUGGCGGCGUGCUUAACACAUGCAAGUCGAACGGUCCUUAUCAGAUGAAAUUUUCGGAUGGAAUCUGAGAAUGGAUAGUGGCGGACGGGUGAGUAACGCGUGGGUAACCUACCCUUAUGACCGGGACAACAGCUGGAAACGGCUGCUAAUACCGGAUAAGCUGACAGGAAGACAUCUUCCGGUCAGAAAAUGGAGGCCUCUAUUUAUAAGCUCCCGCACAAGGAUGGACCCGCGUCUGAUUAGCUAGUUGGUAGGGUAACGGCCUACCAAGGCGACGAUCAGUAGCCGGCCUGAGAGGGUGGCCGGCCACACUGGGACUGAGACACGGCCCAGACUCCUACGGGAGGCAGCAGUGGGGAAUCUUCCGCAAUGGGCGCAAGCCUGACGGAGCAACGCCGCGUGAGUGAAGAAGGCCUUCGGGUCGUAAAGCUCUGUCUUUAGGGAAGAACAGCAGUAGUGCGAAUAGUGCUAUUGCCUGACGGUACCUGAGGAGGAAGCUCCGGCUAACUACGUGCCAGCCGCCGCCGUAACAC